CUAAGACUUGCGUGGAUUUCAUACUGAAACUUGGCGUACGCCAAAACCCAGAAACUGUCUUACGCACAAAUAAAUUCAGAUGUAUCAAAGUGUGCGAACGCAUGGAUCCAAGCACGUUUCUUUUGUACAUCUCGAUCAACGUGGAAUUGAGCGCACAUGCCGAGGUGCCAAACUCCUCCCUGUCCACGCCCUCAUUUAAAUAUGCAAUUUCAUUUAAAUAGGCCUCUGGACCUGAGAUUCACCUCUUAAUCCGAUCACCUGGCACCAUGAACAGAGGCAAAAAACGAAACUUCACGGAGUCUGAGCUCGAGAUUUUGCUCCACGAGGUAGAAAUGCGCAAGCAUAUGCUAUUGGAACCCUGUCAACAGGGAUAAAUGCAAAACAAAAGAGAAGUGAGUGGGAGUGUGUUUGCGAGGCCGUCAAUGCAGUGGGGUCUCAGCAGCGCACACACUCUGAAAUUAAAAAAAAGUGGUCAGACCUCAAGGUGGAGGUGAAGCGGAGGGUUUCUGCCCACCGCCGAAGCGUGACCGCAACAGGUGGGGGGACGGGAGUGGGGGAACUCUCCCCCUUCGAUUUGAGAGUGGCCGCUUUGAUCGGUGACACGGCUCUCACCGGAGUGGUGGGAGCCCAUGAAGGGGACACCGAUCAUCCCCAAGACAAGCAAGGAGAGGGCACGGAUUGCUCCGUCGGCACCGGCGUCUCCUCCGUCGGCCCCGGCGUCUCCUCCGUCGGCCCCGGGGUCUCCUCCGUCGGCCCCGGCGUCUCCAGCCCCGGCGUCUCCAGCCCCGGCGUCUCCUCCGUCGGCCCCGGCGUCUCCAGCGUCACCGCUGACUCCGGUUUCUCCACCGGCUCCGCUGCACGCGGCGCCUCCAAUUCAUCUGCCAACCACCCGACCGGCCGUGUCCUCAACCGAGCUGUGCUGGAGUCACAGGCAGAAAUCGUCAGAGCCAUCGGUGGCAUUAAUGAUCGCCUUGAUCGGCUUAUAAAUGUACUCGGUGACAUAAGCGCGUCAAUAAAUACACUUGUGUCAAAGUCAAUUCUGUCCUUGCCUCUUUACAUGCUUGAAAUCACAGUCUGCCGGGCCCGUAUGGCUCCUCGGGGUGGGUUGCAGUUGACGGGUCCGGCAUCCGGUUCCUCCAGUGGGGGGUUGUGCUGCUCUGGCAGUGGUAUGCCAUGGUGGUGUGCCACAUUGUGGAGGACGCCACAGGCCAUCACAAUGUGGCACACCUUCUCAGGUCUGUAGAGUAGCAUCCCCCCCGACCUGUCCAGGCAUCGCCACCGUCCCUUCAGCAGGCCGAUUGCCCUCUCCACAAUAAUUCGCGUCCGGGAAUGGAGGUCAUUAUACCUCCUCUCUUGGUCGGUGUUGGGGUUCGUAAGAGGGGUCAUCAGCCACGUUCUUAGGGGGUAGCCACGGUCCCCUAGGGUCAGAUGAAGCCGCAGAAUACAAUACACAACGUAAAAACCACACAAUGAAUGAAUGCAGAAGUGCACCGCGGGCGACAUUUCUAACUUUACGCCCGCUUUUUACACGAAUAAAGCAUUUACUCACCCAGAAGCCACCCAUCGCGCACAGUGCCAGCCUCCAGCCUGUUCCCAACCAUGCUGUUGGUCAGAAUGAAUGAAUCGUGCGUUGAACCAGGCCACCUUGCCACGAUGUUAAGGAGCUGCAUUUGCGCACCACAUAUCACUUGGACAUUGAUAGAAUGAAAGUGUUUCCUGUUAACGUAAACAAAUUCAUCCUGUGAUGGCGCUUUUAUGGCAAUAUGUGUGCAGUCAACAGCUCCGAUUACAUUAGGGAAACCGGCUGUUGCUGCAAAUUGCGCUUUAAUGUGGGCCUGUUCAACAGCAUUGUAUGGGAAUUUGAUGUACCUGGAUGACAUUCGGAUGAUUCCGUCCCACACAGCUGGCAUGGCUCGGCUCAGGGUGGACUGGCACACUCCUGACCGAUCGGCCAGCUCCCGCUGGAAGGCCCCUGUUGCCAGGAACCCCAGCGUGGUCAGCACCUGUGUGGGCACGGACAACCCCUGGCUCCUGGCUGUGUGGCGCUCUAGGGCCGGCCGCAGCUCUGCGCACAGCUCCAGUAAUACUGGCCUGGGGAAACGAAAUCGGCUCAUGAGCCAAUCGUCAUCAUUUGCGAGUAAGUCCUCGCGUUCCCUAAAUAUACGUUCCCUUCGGAUGUGACCAUUUGCGAUGUCCUCUAACAACGCUAACACAGCCAUUGUUAAAAGAAUUUUCUUCAUCCAUUGCGCAUGCUUUUAUAGCCACCCAUAUAAUUGCAAGGUGUGUUAAUUGUUCAUUAGUGUGUCUCUGAUGUGCAAAUCACUCUGAUGAGUCAUUGUUUUCACCUUUUUUCCCAGUUUCCCAGCGUCACCUCUAAGUGUCGCCAAAGGAACAAUAGCUGUAGAAACGUGCGUACGACAGCUCUGGAGCUGGCGUGGGGACCGCACAUUUUUACGGUCAUUUCACGUUUUGUACAUCUGAACGUGAGCGUGGAAAAGGACGUACGCCACGUUUUUGUGCGUACGCAGCCUUAGUACAUGAGGCCCCUGAUCCGUAAUUCCAACCUGUUCCGGCAUUGCGCCGUUGGAAAGAAAGAGACCGGCCCAGACCCGUUUAGCGGAUCUGCCCCAAAUGAUAAACAAGACCUGGGCCAAAUCUGGCCCAAAUAUUCACGCAUAACGGGUCCAACCCGUUUCUACACCCUAACCGUGAGCACUUAUGUGGAUCACAGGUCAC
RNAcentral lists this long non-coding RNA (2736 nucleotides) under Gadus morhua (Atlantic cod). RNAcentral's name for it is "lncRNA (ENSGMOG00000033393.1)". Lineage: Eukaryota; Metazoa; Chordata; Actinopteri; Gadiformes; Gadidae. The record is from RNAcentral.